Molecule: ribosomal RNA, 301 nt
Filed under: uncultured bacterium
Lineage: Bacteria
Description: partial 16S ribosomal RNA
Rfam family: Bacterial small subunit ribosomal RNA
Source: RNAcentral
CAGCCGCCACGGUAAUACGAAGGGGGCUAGCGUUGUUCGGAAUUACUGGGCGUAAAGCGCACGUAGGCGGAUAUUUAAGUCAGGGGUGAAAUCCCAGAGCUCAACUCUGGAACUGCCUUUGAUACUGGGUAUCUUGAGUAUGAAAGAGGUGAGUGGAAUUCCGAGUGUAGAGGUGAAAUUCGUAGAUAUUCGGAGGAACACCAGUGGCGAAGGCGGCUCGCUGGUCCAUUACUGACGCUGAGGUGCGAAAGCGUGGGGAGCAAACAGGAUUAGAUACCCCAGUAGUCCCUGUCUCUUAUAC